This 226-nucleotide long non-coding RNA is filed under the name Citrus maxima (pomelo). RNAcentral's name for it is "long non-coding RNA (CMAX_LNC001671)". The record is from RNAcentral. Lineage: Eukaryota; Viridiplantae; Streptophyta; Magnoliopsida; Sapindales; Rutaceae.
AUGAUGAUAAUUCCAAGAGCUUUCAGAAUGUUCUUCUCAAGAAUUUGAAUGCCCUAUACCGUUUCAUUCGUCCCUAUGCUUGUGCUGGCGUUGUGAGUUGCUUGUUAGCUACUAUCUUCUUCAAAAGAAGUAUAUAAAUCUAUAAUGAAAUGUCAUUUCUAUUGAAUUGACAGAUAUAAGUUUUCGUUUAUCAGGUUAUAGCGGCAACCUCGAAUUCUCUUCUUCC